AAUCAACAUGGAAAGAAGACCCUAUUGAGCUUCACUCUAGUCCGACUUUGUGAAAUGACUUGAGAGUUGUAGGGGCAUCUAGAAAUGGCAAAAGUGAAAUACCACUACUUUUAAUGUUAUUUUACUUAUUCCAUGAACGGAAGCGGGGCAAUGCCCCUUCUUUUAGAUCUAAGGUCCGCGCAUGCAGACCAAUCCGAGUAAAAGACAUUAUCAAGUGGGGAGUUUGGCUAGAGUGGCACAUUUGUUAAAAAAUAUCGUAGGUGUCCUAAUAUAAGCUCAACAAGAACAGAAAUCUCGUGUAUAACAAAAUGGUAAAAGUUCGUUUGAUUCUAAUUUUUAGUACGAAUACGAACCGUAAAACCAUGGCCAAUCAAUCCUUUAGAUCUUCAGAAUUUGAAGCUAGAAGCAUCAAAAAGUUACCACAAGGAUAACUAGCUUGUGGUGGCCAAAUGUUCAUAGUGAUGUUGCUUUUUUAUCGUUCGAUGUUGGCUCUUCCUAUCAUUGUGAAGCAGAAUUCACCAAGUGUCGAAUUAUUCACCCACCAAUAAGGAACGUGAGCUGAGUUUAGACUAUCGUGAAACAAGCUAGUUUUAUCCAACUAAUG
This 604-nucleotide non-coding RNA is filed under the name Eucalyptus grandis. RNAcentral's name for it is "Eukaryotic large subunit ribosomal RNA". It matches the Rfam family "Eukaryotic large subunit ribosomal RNA", at positions 2392 to 3002 of the family's 3401-position model. The record is from Rfam by way of RNAcentral. Lineage: Eukaryota; Viridiplantae; Streptophyta; Magnoliopsida; Myrtales; Myrtaceae.